GGAACCCUCUGACAGAUGACGAAAU
This 25-nucleotide non-coding RNA is filed under the name Cricetulus griseus (Chinese hamster). Lineage: Eukaryota; Metazoa; Chordata; Mammalia; Rodentia; Cricetidae. The record is from RNAcentral.